This 426-nucleotide ribosomal RNA is filed under the name uncultured Actinomycetes bacterium. RNAcentral's name for it is "bacterial SSU rRNA". It matches the Rfam family "Bacterial small subunit ribosomal RNA", at positions 958 to 1385 of the family's 1533-position model. Lineage: Bacteria; Bacillati; Actinomycetota; Actinomycetes. The record is from RNAcentral.
AACGCGAAGAACCUUACCAAGGUUUGACAUGGGCCGAAAACUCGCAGAGAUGCGGGGUCCUUCGGGGCGGUUCACAGGUGGUGCAUGGCUGUCGUCAGCUCGUGUCGUGAGAUGUUGGGUUAAGUCCCGCAACGAGCGCAACCCUCGUCCAAUGUUGCCAGCGGGUAAUGCCGGGGACUCAUUGGAGACUGCCGGGGUCAACUCGGAGGAAGGUGGGGAUGACGUCAAGUCAUCAUGCCCCUUAUGUCUUGGGCUGCAAACAUGCUACAAUGGCCGGUACAAAGGGCUGCGAACCCGUGAGGGUAAGCGAAUCCCGGAAAGCCGGUCUCAGUUCGGAUCGGGGUCUGCAACUCGGCCCCGUGAAGCCGGAGUCGCUAGUAAUCGCGGAUCAGCAACGCCGCGGUGAAUACGUUCCCGGGCCUUGUA